AGAGCUCACAAGUUUGAGGCCACAGCAGAAGCACUUCCAGCACAGCCCUGUCAGAUUCCAACAAAUCUGUGAAUUCUGCA
This 80-nucleotide ribozyme is filed under the name Crocodylus porosus (Australian saltwater crocodile). RNAcentral describes it as "Mammalian CPEB3 ribozyme (ENSCPRG00005015387.1)". It matches the Rfam family "Mammalian CPEB3 ribozyme". Rfam says of the family: The mammalian CPEB3 ribozyme is a self cleaving RNA located in the second intron of the CPEB3 gene which belongs to a family of genes regulating messenger RNA polyadenylation. This ribozyme is highly conserved and found only in mammals. There is currently only one other known self cleaving ribozyme in mammals, the CoTC motif. Lineage: Eukaryota; Metazoa; Chordata; Crocodylia; Crocodylidae. The record is from Rfam by way of RNAcentral.